RNAcentral lists this ribosomal RNA (422 nucleotides) under uncultured prokaryote. RNAcentral describes it as "bacterial SSU rRNA". It matches the Rfam family "Bacterial small subunit ribosomal RNA", at positions 355 to 774 of the family's 1533-position model. The record is from RNAcentral.
UGAGGAAUAUUGGUCAAUGGGCGUAAGCCUGAACCAGCCAAGUCGCGUGAAGGAUGACUGCCCUAUGGGUUGUAAACUUCUUUUUUAGGGGAAUAAAGUGAGUCACGUGUGACUUUUUGUAUGUACCCUACGAAUAAGCAUCGGCUAACUCCGUGCCAGCAGCCGCGGUAAUACGGAGGAUGCGAGCGUUAUCCGGAUUUAUUGGGUUUAAAGGGUGCGUAGGCCGACUUUUAAGUCAGCGGUGAAAUUUUCCGGCUCAACCGGGACAUUGCCGUUGAAACUGAUAGUCUUGAGUGUAAAUGAGGUAGGCGGAAUGUGUGGUGUAGCGGUGAAAUGCUUAGAUAUCACACAGAACUCCAAUUGCGAAGGCAGCUUACUGGCAUACAACUGACGCUGAGGCACGAAAGUGUGGGUAUCAAACA